GAGGCAAGUUGUGUGCAUAUCCUCCGCUGGAAUAUAAAAACUCUGCGCGAAUAAAGAUGGCAGAAGGAGAGCAGCCACAGCAGUGUUUUGAUGUCUUGGAAAGGAAAGCAGACGUGCUUUCGGCUUCAUCCCAUCAUCCCUGGGGGUCAUCUUCACAUCAGACAGGAGCAUCCUGAACUCUGCGAGGGGAAGCAUGAAGGAAGAGGAUGUGUGUAUACUCUGUGUGUGUGUGUGUGUGUGUGUGUGUGUGUGUGUGUGUGUGUGUGUGUGUGUGUGCUUGUGCUUGUGCUUGUGCUUGAAAAAGCUCUUUAGUUCACAUUUCUGGGAACAGCUGCAGGCAGGACUUCCUGUUCUGCACAGGAAACAAAAUGGCGGAGUAUGGGAGGCCUGGAACAAUGCUGUGAAAGUCAGCCACCACCCAGGUUAGAGAGCAGAGAAUCGUCUGUGAGUGAAACAGCAAAGAAGACUGCUGCACUGCCUUGGCUGAGAAGCCUCUGGGAUAACAUUUUUCAGGAUCUUAGGUUACCAUGGAGACAGAAUCACCCACAUGCCUCGUCACGAGGAGCCUCUCUAUCCAUGACAACACAGCUGUUUCCUCUAUCCUUCACAUUUGGUUCCAUCCAUCCAUCUUCUUCAUCCGCUUAUCCGGGGUCG
This is a long non-coding RNA of Perca flavescens (yellow perch), 654 nucleotides long. RefSeq lists it as uncharacterized. The record is from RefSeq and is a predicted model, not a curated record. NCBI's taxonomy places the organism in Eukaryota, Metazoa, Chordata, Actinopteri, Perciformes, Percidae. The transcript has 5 exons.